AUGUCGCAAUAUUGGUGGGGUGACGAAGAAAACCAUAAAAGGAUGCAUUGGUUCGCUUGGUGGAAGAUGUGUGUACCAAAGGAAAGGGGUGGUAUGGGUUUCCGGGACAUUCAUAGUUUUAACAUGGCCAUGUUAGCCAAACAAUGCUGGAGACUCAUUGAGAAUUAUGACUCACUUUGUGCAAAAGUUUUAAGGGCUAGAUAUUAUCCUUCUGGGGAUAUUUUGAACUAUGAAUUGAAGAAGGGCUCAUCCUUUGUGUGGCAAAGUAUUUGGGCAGGAAUACAAACGUUCAGAAAAGGAUGCAUUUGGAGAGUCGGAGAUGGUGCAAAGAUAGAUAUAUGGAGUGACUGUUGGAUUCCCAGUAGUGCAUCGCGGAAAAUUGUUACUGUCCGUGGGAACCAACUGCUCACUAAGGUCAGUGACCUCAUCGACCUCUCCCCAGGAGAGUGGGAUGAACAACUAAUAAGGGACACUUUCUAG
Molecule: ribosomal RNA, 480 nt
Filed under: Triticum aestivum (bread wheat)
Lineage: Eukaryota; Viridiplantae; Streptophyta; Magnoliopsida; Poales; Poaceae
Description: partial small subunit ribosomal RNA
Source: RNAcentral